AGCACAGGAUGGGGCGACGGCGGCGCGCGCCUCUCUCGCUCUCUCUCGAAGCGGUGCGCGAACCUACGUCACGUGCGGGGUGGGGAGGGUCGAAAAGAGCCGAGCGCGCUCGUCACUUGUCACGUGGCCGGAGGAGUCUUUGCGGCGCUUAGGAAGGCUGGCUCAUCUCCAUUUCUAAGCCGAAGAGCCGGCGUUGUCCGUUGACGCCUCCGAGGUCAUGUAGCCGGCACGACUGCAUGGCGUGCCCUGACCUUUCAGCCGUAGCGUCCUGUUCCUAGUACUAUUGUGACAGAUGAAGACGAAAACAUGGGGUUUUCGCCAGUUCAACAAGAGCUGGAGUCUCUUCACCUGCCGGAUGUUGACGUUUGCCCUCAAGAAUUCAGUAAAACAGGCCUUGGGCAGAACUCCCCUCCGUUUCCCAGGAAGGAAUCUUAUUCUAGAGACAGGGGAGUUAGAGAGGCCCAACGGAGGAGUUUGAGGAUUGCUGCCAAACAACAAACUGAUUAGGUCUGCUUCCCUUGGGAAAUUCUAAGGAGUCUUGCAUCUGGACAGAGUUGGGUUUCGCUUCUUGUUCUCUAGGGAAAGAGACUUGUUGGCGGGAAAACGAGACCCAAUAUAGGUGUUUGGCGCGAGAGAUUCUUUGCGGAGUCAAUUGAUCAGCUUCAGGAGAGAGAUCGUGUGUGGACUUCGUAACCCCAGUUCCUUGCUUCCCGGAUCAAGUUUUCGAGCCUUGCCUAGCCUUGCAGUUUAACCACGGACCCUGCUCCACGCUUCAUGUUUUGCCUUGUUUCCAGUCACGGACCUAGCCAAGAAUCAAGUUUAUUUCCAGCCUUGCUGUCAAGCUUCAUUGGACUUCUAAGACUCUGACAUUUCCCCACACUAUUGCUUGGCAAGAGUGUGUGUUUCGGUCAAGUGGAUUAAAACUUUGAACUCUAAUAUCAUUUAUUGGACAAUACAUUUUUGGACUAUAUUUGACCUCUUUUGAAAGGUCUGUUUCUGAACUAUAUUCUUCACUUGUUUUUAUUGCUUUUAUAUAUUUCUUUAAUAAAGAUAUUAGAUAGA
This is a long non-coding RNA of Anolis carolinensis (green anole), 1062 nucleotides long. RefSeq lists it as uncharacterized. The transcript has 2 exons. NCBI's taxonomy places the organism in Eukaryota, Metazoa, Chordata, Lepidosauria, Squamata, Anolidae. The record is from RefSeq and is a predicted model, not a curated record.